AGUGCAGCUUUGCCUAUUGGCUUAGAUCAAGUGUAGUAUCUGUUCUUUUCAGUUUAAUCUCUGAAAGUCUUCUACGGAAGACACAUUGAUUAUACUAAUUUUUGAUAUUCGAAUGGGGCCCUCUGGGCUUGCUCACGACCUCGCUCACAGUGUCAUCGGUAUUACACUGCCUCCGAUUGACGCGAAGCAAA
This is a small nuclear RNA of Erysiphe necator (grape powdery mildew), 191 nucleotides long. It matches the Rfam family "U2 spliceosomal RNA". Rfam says of the family: U2 is a small nuclear RNA (snRNA) component of the spliceosome (involved in pre-mRNA splicing). Complementary binding between U2 snRNA (in an area lying towards the 5' end but 3' to hairpin I) and the branchpoint sequence (BPS) of the intron results the bulging out of an unpaired adenosine, on the BPS, which initiates a nucleophilic attack at the intronic 5' splice site, thus starting the first of two transesterification reactions that mediate splicing. NCBI's taxonomy places the organism in Eukaryota, Fungi, Ascomycota, Leotiomycetes, Helotiales, Erysiphaceae. The record is from Rfam.